This 444-nucleotide ribosomal RNA is filed under the name uncultured bacterium. RNAcentral describes it as "partial 16S ribosomal RNA". It matches the Rfam family "Bacterial small subunit ribosomal RNA", at positions 331 to 792 of the family's 1533-position model. The record is from RNAcentral.
CCAGACUCCUACGGGAGGCAGCAGUGGGGGAUAUUGCACAAUGGGGGGAACCCUGAUGCAGCGACGCCGCGUGGGUGAAGAAGCGCCUCGGCGCGUAAAGCCCUGUCAGCAGGGAAGAAAAUGACGGUACCUGAAGAAGAAGCCCCGGCUGACUACGUGCCAGCAGCCGCGGUAAUACGUUGGGGGCAAGCGUUAUCCGGAUUUACUGGGUGUAAAGGGGGCGCAGACGGCGAUGCAAGCCAGGAGUGAAAGCCCGGGGCCCAACCCCGGGACUGCAUUUGGAACUGUGUGGCUGGAGUGUAGGAGAGGCAGGCGGAAUUCCUAGUGUAGCGGUGAAAUGCGUAGAUAUUAGGAGGAACACCAGUGGCGAAGGCGGCCUGCUGGACGAUGACUGACGUUGAGGCUCGAAAGCGUGGGGAGCAAACAGGAUUAGAUACCCUAGUA